GUUCGGCGAUACCAGCACAUUCUCGGGUUUCACGUCGCGGUGCAUGAUCUAUGGAAGGAAAAUCUUCUGUUUCAUUCAAAACGUAAAGUGACCGAAGAAAUCCUUCAAGAGAAAUUUCUAAAAACAGGAAAGUCAAAAUAAGAAAAUCAAUCGAGGAAAAAGAUUAACUUGAUUAUACAGAUUGUACGUUGAUCGUUUGUAGAAUCCUCAUUUAAGUUGUACCUAAUUCACCUAAUUGCAAACGCGUAAUGUUUUCCGUACACCAGAACUUCCCGAGUCGAGCUCGACUAAAUACGGCAACCAUCGUCCUCGUUUGUUACAAUGCUAUCAUUCAUUAGGUAUCCGGCCGUUGCGUGUUACUACACAUGCACGGCUUACUGCAACUUGGAAUUUAAGCGUCACGGCCGUGAACUUUACCAUAAGGCGUACUUAUUGCCAAAGGUUGCUGAUAAGCGAAAGUACAACAUCAACGUGCGCACAGAUACGUAUUUUGUAUCUUUCAAAUUAAAUUUGCAUAAAUUUGUCGAAAUUUCAGUGUAAAAUAUAAUCUGAAUAUUUAUUUUAUUAUAAUAGCCACUUUCGAUAAUGCAGUUCACGUAAACUCCUUAAAAAUUUAAAUUGUGUGAAAAAAUUAUAUAUUGCCAAAAAUUAAUAACGCGGAAAGCAUUUUGUUGCGCGGAUUGUCCUAUAUUUUUUUUUAAUACAAUAACGGAAUUAAAAAUUACAACUUUUAGCGAGAA
Wasmannia auropunctata (little fire ant) is the source of this 740-nucleotide long non-coding RNA. RefSeq lists it as uncharacterized. The record is from RefSeq and is a predicted model, not a curated record. The transcript is spliced from 2 exons. Lineage: Eukaryota; Metazoa; Arthropoda; Insecta; Hymenoptera; Formicidae.